Molecule: ribosomal RNA, 253 nt
Filed under: uncultured bacterium
Lineage: Bacteria
Description: partial 16S ribosomal RNA
Rfam family: Bacterial small subunit ribosomal RNA
Source: RNAcentral
UACGGAGGGGGCUAGCGUUGUCCGGAAUCAUUGGGCGUAAAGCGCGUGUAGGCGGUUCGGUAAGUCCGCUGUGAAAGUCGGGGGCUCAACCCUCGAAUGCCGGUGGAUACUGUCGGACUAGAGUACGGAAGAGGCGAGUGGAAUUCCUGGUGUAGCGGUGAAAUGCGCAGAUAUCAGGAGGAACACCAAUUGCGAAGGCAGCUCGCUGGGACGUUACUGACGCUGAGACGCGAAAGCGUGGGGAGCAAACAGG